GCCGCGGUAAUACGGAGGGUGCAAGCGUUGUCCGGAUUUAUUGGGUUUAAAGGGUGCGUAGGCGGUUUAUUAAGUCAGUGGUGAAAUCCUGCAGCUUAACUGUAGCAUUGCCAUUGAUACUGAUUUUCUUGAAUAUAGUUGAAGUAGGCGGAAUACGACAUGUAGCGGUGAAAUGCAUAGAUAUGUCGUGGAACACCGAUCGCGAAGGCAGCUUACUAAGCUAUUAUUGACGCUGAUGUACGAAAGCGUGGGGAGCGAACAG
RNAcentral lists this ribosomal RNA (262 nucleotides) under uncultured bacterium. Its description in RNAcentral is "partial 16S ribosomal RNA". It matches the Rfam family "Bacterial small subunit ribosomal RNA", at positions 514 to 775 of the family's 1533-position model. The record is from RNAcentral.